This 391-nucleotide transfer-messenger RNA is filed under the name Thermaurantimonas aggregans. It matches the Rfam family "transfer-messenger RNA". From Rfam's summary of the family: Bacterial tmRNA, also known as 10Sa RNA or SsrA, is named for its dual tRNA and mRNA-like properties. Its role is to liberate the mRNA from a stalled ribosome. The record is from RNAcentral. Lineage: Bacteria; Pseudomonadati; Bacteroidota; Flavobacteriia; Flavobacteriales; Schleiferiaceae.
GGGGCUGACUGGUUUUGACAGCAAGGUGAAUGUGUCAGUAAGCAUGCCGAGCCAGGUGACGACGCUCGUAAAUCUUGGUCACAGCCAUAAAUGGCAACAACAACUACGCACUUGCUGCUUAAUCAACGGGAUGUUGGUUAGCUUUAUCUGCCACCAGGUGGCAGAGCAAGUCAUCCUGCUACAGCCGAUUCGCCCGGCGGUAGAUUACAGGGUGUCAUAAAAGGGUGAAUAGGGGAGUGUAGGCUGCGAACACGCCCCGAAAACACAGCAGCUAAGCCAUCGGCAGGGUGUCUGUCUCCAUCCGAUGGUCGAAAAAGCAACGACAGACUAAGCAUGUAGAAAGCUGAUGUGUUCCUUGUUUGGACGCGGGUUCGAAUCCCGCCAGCUCCAC